AUGCUUCUCUCUGACAUGUCUUGUCUGAUAUUUUAGGAGUUCGUGAUGAUUGUCGUCUUUGGUUUGGAGUUCAUCAUUCGAAUCUGGUCUGCAGGUUGCUGUUGUCGGUACAGAGGAUGGCAAGGACGAUUGAGGUUUGCCCGAAAGCCCUUCUGUGUUAUAGAUACCAUUGUUCUUAUCGCUUCAAUAGCAGUUGUUUCUGCAAAAACUCAGGGUAAUAUUUUUGCCACGUCCGCACUCAGAAGUCUCCGUUUCCUACAGAUCCUCCGUAUGGUGCGCAUGGACCGAAGGGGAGGCACUUGGAAAUUACUAGGUUCAGUGGUUUAUGCUCACAGCAAGGAAUUAAUCACAGCUUGGUACAUAGGAUUUUUGGUUCUUAUUUUUUCAUCUUUCCUUGUCUAUCUGGUGGAAAAGGAUGCCAAUAAAGAGUUUUCUACAUAUGCAGAUGCUCUCUGGUGGGGCACAAUUACAUUGACAACUAUUGGCUAUGGAGACAAAACUCCCCUAACUUGGCUGGGAAGAUUGCUUUCUGCAGGCUUUGCGCUCCUUGGCAUUUCUUUCUUUGCACUUCCUGCCGGCAUUCUUGGCUCAGGUUUUGCAUUAAAAGUACAAGAACAGCACCGCCAGAAACACUUUGAGAAAAGAAGGAACCCAGCUGCCAACCUCAUUCAGGUAAAUGUCAAUGUAAUAGGUAGAUGGCAACAUCUGUCUCCAUAA
Galeopterus variegatus (Sunda flying lemur) is the source of this 717-nucleotide RNA transcript. It is a transcript of the gene named potassium voltage-gated channel subfamily KQT member 5-like, with no coding region annotated. NCBI's taxonomy places the organism in Eukaryota, Metazoa, Chordata, Mammalia, Dermoptera, Cynocephalidae. The transcript is spliced from 5 exons. The record is from RefSeq and is a predicted model, not a curated record.